AUCAUCAUUUAACGUCUGUGUUCCAUGCUAGCAUGGGUGGGAUGGUACCAUAAGAGCCAGCCAAGGAAGAAGCCUACACCAGACUACUGUGACUGUUUUGGUAGGAUUUUUAUAGCUGGAUGCCCUUCCUAACACCAACCACUCAGCAGAGGACUGAGUGCUUUUUAUGUGCCA
Octopus sinensis (East Asian common octopus) is the source of this 174-nucleotide long non-coding RNA. RefSeq lists it as uncharacterized. NCBI's taxonomy places the organism in Eukaryota, Metazoa, Mollusca, Cephalopoda, Octopoda, Octopodidae. The transcript is spliced from 3 exons. The record is from RefSeq and is a predicted model, not a curated record.